RNAcentral lists this ribosomal RNA (259 nucleotides) under uncultured bacterium. Its description in RNAcentral is "partial 16S ribosomal RNA". It matches the Rfam family "Bacterial small subunit ribosomal RNA", at positions 524 to 776 of the family's 1533-position model. The record is from RNAcentral.
UACGAAGGGGCUAGCGUUGUUCGGAAUUACUGGGCGUAAAGGGCGCGUAGGCGGUCUGAUUAGUCAGAUGUGAAAUUCCCGGGCUUAACCUGGGCGCUGCAUUUGAUACUGUCGAGGCUUGGAAUUCAGGAGAGGGAUAGCGGAAUUCCCGAGUGUAGAGGUGAAAUUCGUAGAUAUUGGGAAGAACACCGGUGGCGAAGGCGGCUACUCUGGACUGACAUUGACGCUGGAGGCGACGAAAGCGUGGGGAGCAAACAGG